CCCUUAGAUGUUCUGGGCCGCACGCGCGCUACACUGACGAAUGCAACGAGCUUAUAACCUUGGCCGAAAGGUCUGGGUAAUCUCCAAAUUUCGUCGUGAUGGGGAUAGAUUAUUGCAAUUAUUAAUCUUCAACGAGGAAUGCCUAGUAAGCGCAAGUCAUCAGCUUGCGUUGAUUACGUCCCUGCCCUUUGUACACACCGCCCGUCGCUCCUACCGAUUGAAUGGUCCGGUGAAGCGUUCGGACCGUGGCCUUUGUACGGUUCGCCGUCUGUUGGCUGCGGGAAGUUCGUUAAACCUUAUCAUUUAGAGGAAGGAGAAGUCGUAACA
RNAcentral lists this ribosomal RNA (327 nucleotides) under uncultured eukaryote. Its description in RNAcentral is "partial 18S ribosomal RNA". It matches the Rfam family "Eukaryotic small subunit ribosomal RNA", at positions 1470 to 1796 of the family's 1831-position model. The record is from RNAcentral.